RNAcentral lists this ribosomal RNA (567 nucleotides) under uncultured bacterium. RNAcentral describes it as "bacterial SSU rRNA". It matches the Rfam family "Bacterial small subunit ribosomal RNA", at positions 358 to 916 of the family's 1533-position model. The record is from RNAcentral.
GGAAUUUUGGACAAUGGACGCAAGUCUGAUCCAGCCAUUCCGCGUGCAGGAUGAAGGCCCUCGGGUUGUAAACUGCUUUUGUACGGAACGAAAAGGUUUCUAUUAAUACUAGGAGCUCAUGACGGUACCGUAAGAAUAAGCACCGGCUAACUACGUGCCAGCAGCCGCGGUAAUACGUAGGGUGCAAGCGUUAAUCGGAAUUACUGGGCGUAAAGCGUGCGCAGGCGGUUAUGUAAGACAGAGGUGAAAUCCCCGGGCUCAACCUGGGAACUGCCUUUGUGACUGCAUAGCUAGAGUACGGUAGAGGGGGAUGGAAUUCCGCGUGUAGCAGUGAAAUGCGUAGAUAUGCGGAGGAACACCGAUGGCGAAGGCAAUCCCCUGGACCUGUACUGACGCUCAUGCACGAAAGCGUGGGGAGCGAACAGGAUUAGAUACCCUGGUAGUCCACGCCGUAAACGGUGGGCGCUAGUUGUGCGAACCUUCCACGGUUUGUGCGACGCAGCUAACGCAUUAAGCGCCCCGCCUGGGGAGUACGAUCGCAAGAUUAAAACUCAAAGGAAUUGACGG